AGGAGUACCAAGGUGGUAUAAAUAUGAAGGAAGAAUAUCUGCCAGAUGCAUAAGAAUCAGCCAACUUCUGAUAAAUGUGAGAACCAUUAUACCAUAUCAAUAAAAUUUAAAACCAGUGUAAUGUAUACAGGUACCCCACUAAAAAAGUACAAUCAUAGAGAAUAAUAGUCAUAAUUUCUUAAGCACCAAAACACUUUUUCUUCGCAACACACACAUGCCCUGACUUUUGAUACCCAACAAUAUUAUUACACUGCAAUGAAAGCAUUCCAGUAGAGGUAGAAGCAAAAACUUGUACAGAAGCCGAUGAAAUAUGCACUAUAACAAGUCAUAAAGAAAGGAUCAGAGACCCUGUUCAAUGAGAUAAUCACCAAGCCUUUCAACUAUCAUGUUGCAUUGACCUGGAGUCAUGGGCUCAUCAUAAAUGCCAAUGACCAAGGCCAAACCGGUCUUCUUGACAGUAGCACCACCAGGACCCUGGGUUAAUGGGGAUACAUAAUUAAAAUCUGAUAUUACAACUAUAAUGGCUAAACUAUGCUAGAAGAAUAUAUCUGCACCAACAUGUGCAAGAAAUACAACUGAUGUAUGUUCAUUAAAUUUCAUUGAAUUUGAUGAAAAAAUUACAUCAGACAACACUGGGAACAAUAUUUACUUGUUCAGAGGAAGCAAACAAUAACCACACUGCUUAAAGGUAUCUAUGUACAUAUGCAUUUGCUUGAAAAUUAUAACUUGAUUGAUAAGCAAUUCACAAUAACAUAGAUGGAUUCAGAAAAUGUGAAACGCUUUGGAAAAGAGAUAUUAGACAUUGUACGAAUUAAAUCAGAGGCAAGAUACAGUUGCCCAACUAAAUUACUGCAGUACACCAUAUUCAAGCAAAACUAAAUUACUGCAGUACACCAUCUGCAAUGACAACACAAAUAAAAGACUGAAAUCUUAACCAGAUCAUAGUUUAGACAACAGUAUGAUUGGAAUUCACUCCACAAACUAUACAGUAAAAACAUACAAAAAUGCAUAUCUUCACAGAAACUGCAUCGUUGUCAUCACAUAGCCCAGAUCAUAAUCAAACUAUAUAUGAACCUGCGCAAUCAAAAUGAAGCAAAGAUCAUAAAGAGUAGUUACCUUCUUGCCUCUAAUGACAGACCCGGGUUCACCUUGGAUGACCAUAUAUUUAGUGCCACCAAUAUACAAUCCAGUGGGAGCAAGUGUUCCAGGCUCAUUAAAGUCAUUCAAGAUUCCAGAUACUUCCUCAGGUUUUAACUAAAUAAACAAAAACCCACAUGUUAUUAAAUCACCAACUACAACAGAUCAACAAAAACAAAAGCAGAUCCGUUAACAGCAGAGUUCAUAAGAGCAUCAGACACAUAUAAUAAGAUAAUCAAUCAAGCAAGCAGGCAUCAAACUGACAUCAGAUUAAAACACAGUUGUUGUAUUCAACAGCUCAAAACUACUAAGUGCAGUCCAAGUCAAUUCGGAUUGGUUUCCUUUGCGGAUCAGGUUUAGCAUAUUGACAAACAUGCCCUUAAAUUUGAACUGUAUUACAAGGCGAUCCUUCUGGAAUCUUGGCUUGAUUUAUAAGCGAAGGCAUUGAGCAGGGAUCGGAGAAUCUAGAGACUUGAGUAAAGAAUUAAGAAUCAACAGCGAAAGGAGGCGAUUGAAUUGGGAAAAGAAUAAGCGAAGAUGGAAACAAAAACCUGAGGGAAGCCGGAGCUCUGAGCCCAAACGCUGCCGUCCUGGCCGAUGAUAGCGGCGUGACUUAGGUGGUUUCCUUCAAUUUCGCAGAGAAGGUGGUCGUCGACGUAAGUUUGCCACGACAUGAUUCAGAUUGUUUUGGGGAUUUUCUGGCUGAGAGUGUUCGGUGAUCGGAUUUGAAGUAUCUCUAUAUCUCUGUAUAUCUAUCUAUAUCUCUUUCUCAGCUGCUGCGUUGAUAUCACGGAACUAUAUAAUAUAUAGCGGUAAAGUUACGUUUACGCCCUUUACAUUACCCUAUUUUCACUAUCAGACCUUGCAGAAAAUAUAGGAAUUGUAAACUUUUUUAAGUCUCCAAAAAAAAAAAAAAAAGACAUUUUUUAAUUUAUUAUAUCACGAUGUUUGUAACUAUAAUUGAAUAUGAUCCAGUUACGUGUGUAUGUCAACCCAAAUUGUUACAAAAAGGAUUUUCUUUGGAGAUUACUUGGUGGAAGUUUUCCAGAUAUACUUAAGUUAAUUUCUUUUAAUGCUGAAUCAUAAAACACGCUUUAUCUAGCUAUUCAAAUUGGAAGACGAUGAUUAAAAUAACAUAAUGGACCUAUUCAUACCAUCCCAUCUUUUUACAUACACAAAUAGUUACAACAGGUUAGAUUAAACAUUUAUAUUUAAUGUCACGAAUUUUGAGAAAUAUGUUCAUGCUUACGAGCAGUUAAACUUUUUAACAAGUUCUCCAAGACUUCAUAUAUAAAAAAGAGUAUGAAGAGAUAGCAAGUACAAAUAUUAAAAUUUAUUAAAAAAAUUAAUAUUAUAAUCAAAUUCAAGUAAUUAUUUAUGUAAUUAGGGUUAUGUAUCCUUUAGGAAAAAAGUUAGCUAUGCUAAUUUAUAUCCUUUUGUAUGUUAUUGGUUCAAGUUUUAUAUAUACAUAGCAUUAAUCAUCCUUGAGAUUUAUCAAAAUUUUGUUAUUAUCAUUAGUAAAGGUUUAAUUUCAUUUUUUAAACAAUUUUUUCUCUCUUUUAUGGGUUGUGAAAAUUAAAAAAUAAUAUAUAUAUAUAUAUAUAUAUAAAUUAUUUAAUUAUAUUUUGAAAAUAUUUUAGGUACUUUUACAAAUAUUGUCUCAUAGAUAAUAUUCAAACCAUAACUUUAUAUAAUAAGUAAUUAAUUCAUGACAAGUGUGUCUGGUGGAGUUAAUUUUAUGACCUAACAGAUUAAAAAUGUUUUGAUUGUGUAUGUUUUUAACAUGACUCUCCUUCUAAGUUAUUGUGAAAAACAAAACAUAAACUACAAAGAAAUAUAAGAGAGAAAAUUCACCUUAUAAAAUAAUUAUGUUCACUUGUCAAUUAACUGAUUAAGUUUUAUUAAAUAAAAUAGUAAUGUGAAGAACAAUAUAAAUAUUCUUUAAAUUUAUAAUCAUUUCUAACUAAACUAUUAAACAUUGUCCGGACUUGUAUCCAUUUUUGGUUAAUCUUUUAAAUACUUUUUUUUAACAAUUUUUUAGUCAAUUUUUGUAUUUUUUUAACCUUUCAAUCAUUCAUGUCUAAUCUUAUUCGAGUAAUCCUUUUACAAGUAUUUUUUUCUCAACUUUAAUAUUCUUUUUUCUCUCAAUUACUUUUGAUAGUUCAAUUAUUACUAAUAUAAAUCAUUUUUGACUCAAAGAACUAUUCCUUCACAAACUACUCAUAACUUACACAAUUAUUCUUUAAACAAUAGUCAUUAAUAAAUAAUAAUCAACAUUUUUUACCAAGCAACCAAUCUUGAAUAAGAUGUUUGUAGUUAAAUGAUCAACGAUCACAUAAUUGCUCAUUGGAGAAGUUGAUAGUUUGUUGAUGUAUAUAAGAUUAAUGUUCUCACUUCUAGCUUGUUGGAUAUUAGCUCAAAAACAUUUAAUAUUAUUUUUACAUAUACAAGGUGGUCUAUUUUAUUAUUAUUCUUCUAAAAAUUGCUUUAUAUAUGCUUCAAAGAAAAUAAAUGAUAUAAAAUUUGAUUUUGUUGUUGAAUGUCUUCUUGUCUUUUAAGAAACUUGUUCAUGUAUUAUGAAAUAAGCACUUCUUUUUGAGUUAACAAUGUUUAGUUUAAGGAAUUGUUGAAAGAAAAACAAUUUAAACUCUUUGUCAAAAAGUUCUUAACUUAUUUUUCAAGUAAUAAACCUAUUUGAAAAACAAAAAUAAUAUACAUUCCCUUUAACAUUGGAAAAUCAUUUAUGUUUUCAUUUGGUACGAUGUUAGCUCACUUAUAUAUGUUUAAUGUCUGAACACAUUUAUGUAUGAUAUACCUAAAGAAAUAUUCCACAAUGUUGUAUCAAAUAAAACACUUGCAUUUUUAAUGUUGUGUUGUUGAUUUAAAAUAUCUUUUAGACAAAAUAUGGUCAUGCUUUUAUACUUAGUUAUUUUAUACACUUAAUCAAAAAUAAAAAUAUAUAGAACUUAUUUUGGUAUCGUAUGGAAGAUUGUCGGGUUAUCAAUGUCAUGACUUCUAGAUUAUUUAGGUUUGGAUGAUUGUCGGUCUGGUCUGAUUUGAUCUGAAUUACUUCUGGAUUGUCAUAUAAUGUUGCUUAGACUGAUUUCUUAAAAUAUGAAUUAUUGUUGGACUGAUUUGGUGUAGUCUAAACGACCAACUAUUUUAUAUGAAAACAAUUAAAAGUAAAUUAAAAAUAAGAAAUAAAAAAUGUAUAUAUGAGUUAUUUUUAAGGUCAAGUAAUACAAAAGCUAUAAUCAUGUGGUAAAGCAACAACAACGUACCUAAUUAAUUGGAGAAAUUAAUCAAUUGCCUAUUAGAUUAUCAGCAACAAAUCAAAUUGUUUCUUUUUGCAAUAAUAACUUUCAACAUUGAUAUUAAAAUAAGCAACGAGUAAACAAAAUUGUGUUUCUAAAUGAUUACAUGUAAUGUAAACUUAGAAAUCGAGUCCAGUUAUAUACAUCUGAUCAAUGAUUAAAUAAAUUAGUUAUCAAAAUAUAACAUUUACAAUGUACUUGAAAUCUUUUGUAAAUGAACAUCCAAAAUUAUGACACCACUACUGGUAGUAAUUAUUAUGUACAAUUUCACAGUCAUCAGCAUUUAUAUAUAGGAGAUAAAAGUUAUUAUAUUUAAAGUGGGAUAAAAAAAACAAUAGAACAUAUACUUUCAAUGGUCUUAAGUAAUUUACAUUCCUAGAUUCUUAAAAUUCGAUCUAUUUCUUUAAAUAAUUUUAUUCAUACAACAUGCUUUAUAUUAUAAAAUAUCUGAAAUUCAUACAGGAUAAUUUCUAUUCAAGAAUUUCUAUCAUGAGAGUCUAUUUUGCUGUAUUUGUGCAGACCGGAAGUAUGCCUUGAGACAGUAGCAGAGCUUAGUUUAGCACAAGGGGGCUUUGGUGCUAAUUUUUAAACAUAUAAAUUAUUUUUUUGUAUAAAUAAAAAUAUUUUUUUUAAAUUUAAUAUAUUUUAUAUAAUUGAAAUUUCAAAAUUUUAAUAUAUCUAAUUUUUGACACCUAAAAUAUUUGUUUAUGAUUAGCCACUGAAUUGGUGGGAUUUUGGAUAAGUCGGCCGCUUGUUUACUGUGUAAUCUGAGAGAUCGUGAACAACUCGUGUUGUUGGAAGAUCCGGGGAUGGUAAUUUUUUAGGAAAGGAAAAGUUGAGUGGGCAGGUUUGAGACGUUUUUGGAUUAUUAUAUAGAAAUAGAACGAAUUUUGUGUAAUAAGAAACUGAUUAUGUGAAUUGAAAAUCAUUUCUCGUCCAUUGGAACCGAUUCUGCCAUAUGAGAAUUGAAUGGUUCUUCUGCCCUAUAAUAAUAGUUAUAAUAUAACAAAUAUAAUUAUGAUAAUAACUAUAACAAUAUUCACAAUGAUAAUAAUAAUAAUAAUCACAGUAAUAGUAAUAAUAACAACAUAAUUAAUAACAAUAGUAUAAAAUUAACAACAAUUAUUAUAAUUAGUAUUGAUAAAUCCAAUAUUAAUAAUUCAUAAUAACUAUAAUAAUAAUAUUGUGAAUUUUUAUUAUGAUAUAAAAUGAUUCUAUAAAUUUAAUAAUUUACAAUAAUAAUAAUUUUUUUUUUCAAUUUUAACUUUUUUUAAUUAUAAAUAAUAAAUUGAAUUUUAUUUUAAUACAUUUCUUUACUAUUUACGUUUAAAUGUAUUUAACAUACGUAAAAUAGAAUCAUUCAGUUUUAUCUAUUAAAAUAUUUUUUUAAUUUAUUAUAUUGAUUAUAUCAUACAUAAAUUUUUAUAAACUUUUUACUCAAAUUAUAUCAUUUUAUUUUAAUUUAAAAAUUACUGCAUUUUUUUAUUUCCAAAUUUAUUUUCUCAUUUUCUCUCAAUUUUUCCUUCCACCGUAUCCUAAUGGUGUUGGAAUAUAAGAGGCAGAAUGAAACACACCCGAUAAAAUAUAUCUGAAUUGUGAGUGAUAGAAGAAACAAUUUAAAUAUCUAUAAAUUCAUUAUAGGUUACAAUUAUUCAAAACCAUUUAGUAUUAAAUUAAACAAUAUCUAUAAACUUAUUAUAAUUAUCUUUAUUCUUGUGCAACUUAAAUUAACUUGAUUGAUUAAAAUAUAUUUAUAGUUAAAAGUUAUUAUAAUUUUUUAAAAGGAUAAAAAAUAUUAAUAAAACAAAGCAAAAUUUAGUAAAUGAAAGAAAUAAGCAGUAAUGCCAAAAGAAAAGCCAAACGGACCGGCUUCAUAAUCGUGUGUAACAACCGUGUUCUCUUGCUCUCUGCAGAACUCCUAAGGUUUUCUCGCUCCGUCACCAAAGCGCAAUUGCAGCGAACGCAACACUCUCCUUGGCACAUCUCCGUUACUCUCGAAAACGACACUCUCCUUGGCACGUCUCUGUCACUCUCUUCGUCCCGUUCGAUUCAAAUAAGAAUUCUCCGAGGUCAAUUUCAUUGAGCAAAUGUCGGUUGCAAAGAAGUUGAUUAGAUGUGUUAUCCUUGACUUGGACGACACGCUGCUCAACACAGGUUUGUUGCCAUUCUUUAACAUAGAAUAUUUGUCUUUGCUCACACAGUUGAAGCAUAUAAUCGAGUAGCUUCAUUUUUUUUUCUUCCUAAUUGGAGCUAUAUAUUCUAUAACGCUGGAGAUUGCGAAUGUUUCGAUGCAGAUGGCUUCAGGAACCUUUGGCUUCUUGUGUUUCUUUUCCUUUGGUUUUGUGUGCUAACAUAAGUAUGGUCUUGUUUUUUCUUUUAUUUUCUAUGCGUGCAGGAUGGAAGAAUUUUCUCUGUUAUAAUUGGUGGAGAUGAAGUAAGAACAGGGAAACCUUCCCCAGAAAUGUGAGAUGCAGUGGUGUAUUCUCUAGCUUUGAUUAUUGAGGGUCGGUCACCUGAUUUCUACAUUUGAAUGUUCUUCGUCUUCUAAAACUUUUAUAGUGUGUUGUGAUGUUAGAUUCCUUGAAGCUACUAGCAGGAUAAACAUUGAGCCCUCCAGCUGUCUUGUCAUUGAAGAUACUGUGUGAGUUCCUUGAUUCCUGUCUUUCUCCCAGUAUUUUAUCUUUCAUAUUGUUGAACAAACUUAAACGUGGAUAGUUGCAUUAAAUAGUUUGUUGUUAUAAUAAUGGUGUUAGAGAAUUGCAAAAGGUUAGGAAUGCACCUAAGUAAUGAUUGUCUUAGUAAAGGAAUUAUGUUUAAUGCCUGUAGUUGAAAGGCCAAAAAAAGGACCUAUAAAUAGUUCAUGAACUCCUCAACGUAUUUUAUACAGCAAGCAAAUACUAAAAGUGUAUAAUGAUAUUCAUUACACACAUAGAACACUAAGAAUCCCAACCAAAAAUUUCAUCCAGCUUUGAAUACCCAUCACAAUUUUUUGUACAUGAACUAUCUUCUUAUCACUUUCAUUUUCAAAACUCUUUAGCAACCUCUCAUCAUUUGCUUCCAACACUUCACAGCUAAUACUUUCUUCAAUUCCCCAAUACUUUCUUCAAUUCCCCAAUCAGUGCACCAUCUGAAGUAGUUGCAUCUAGUAUUUUCACUCCCAACCUUAUAAGUAGAGCAACCCUAGAAUUGUUUGCCUCGAUUCUUCCUGGUUUUCGCAGUCUUCAACAUAGUCUUCUCUUCACAAUGGCAGAUCCGCGAACCAUCUUUUCUUUUCCACCCUCCAUCUCCACAAGAGCUCACAGACCGCAAAUGCUUUCUUCCAAACUCAUUGCAAGUGGAAAAGGAACAUGAAUGACCCAUCGACAUUAUUGCGUCUUCUGCUUUAGAACUUCCCUCGUUCGAAACUUCAAGUGCUGGUCAACCUUUAAGCACAACGAACCCUAAAGACUUCGCAUAAGGUCCAACUUUGCACUUUCUCUCGACCACAUUCGUCUCAGAUUUUUAAUCAAGAAUGCAAUGGAAAUCCCAUAUGUAACUUCAGUUUUUAAACUAAAACCUAUAUAUCAAAAAUCCAUAUUCAAUUUUAAUAAGUUCCGAAAAUACCACGUUUCACUUCAAAACAUGUCACCUUUAAAUACUUUAACACGUCAUUCCACCACUUGUGCAAAAACUUAAUCUCGUUAAUUAAAUUUAACAGCAGGGGCUCAAUUUUCUUAAUCUUGUUAACUAAAUUUAACAGUAGGAACUCAAUUGUUUCAAAUUAACAUUUAUAAAAACUUAAAUAAAAAAUUUAAAAAGAAAAAGAUCAUAACAGAAAAACUCCCCUAGAAACAGAUUUAAAUCUAAUUUAUUUUAAUGUUUGAAUAUAAAACACACUUCUAAACCAUUCAAAAGGAAGACAAUAAUUAAAAUAACAUAAUGAACUAUUCAUACCAUCUCAUCGUUUUACAUAUACAGAUAACUGCAAUAAGUUAGAUUCAAAACAUAUAUUUAAUGUGACGAUUUUUGAGAAAUAUGUUCAUGUUUACGGGCAGUUAAACUUUUUAACAAUUGGUAUAUAAAAAGAGUACGAAGAGAUAGGAAGUACAAAUAUUAAAAUUUAUUAUUAAAGUUUAAUUUUAUAAUCAAAUUCAAGUAAUUAUUAAUAUAAUUAGGAAUAUGUAUUACUUGUAAAUGUGUUAGACCUGGUGAUUCUAUUUUUUUACAAAACAAUCGAGAAUUACAAUGUCAUCAACCUAGGUUUUUUAUACUCAAUUCGAUUGAGAACGAUUUACAAUUUGGGAUUGCAGCAGUAUGGACAAUCUUGGUCAGCAACUUAAACAAUUAUUCAAAAUUCAAUUUAAAAAAAAAACGUGGGCUAUGUAAAAAAAGUGUCAAUAUCAUUUCCGUUUAUUUAUAUUUACUUUUAUAACUAUAAUUUUAUUACUUUUUGCUAUUAUGAAAAAAAAAAGUGAAGAUAUAAAAUGUGUUUUACCUCCUAAAAGUGUAAAAUUUGGUUUUCACCUACAGGCGUCGAUCGACAGAGAGGGCAAUCUCCGAAGAAUUUUAACUUAACUAAAACUUGACUUUAACAAUUUUAUAGGUUUUCAAAUACAUUUUUUAUAUAAUUUAUUUCUAAAAAAGCCCAUUCGGAUCAGUACCAACUACAUUCAAACUCCAGCACAAUAAACCCCGUUAUUGCAUUUACCAAAGGUUGAACAUGUCCACCUGGUCAUCAUGAUCAUUAUCAGCGAUUUGCGCUGUAUGAGAAUAGAUCUGCCACGCAGAAUAGCGACUUUUGGUGUUUGCAAAAUAGUUCAGUGGAUCAUAACUAAGAUUUUUAUCAGAUCCAACACUGUUACUUCUUAAUGCCAUGAAAAGUACAAAGUGAUGUUUAGCAAUGCAGUCCAGGUAUCACCUCAAGGCUUGUUAAAACAUAAAUACCACUUAACCCACAAAAAUAAUUUGAAGGAGGUAAAGGAGGAAAUAGGAGUAUGAAAGUAUAAAUAUUAAAGGCUUUCUGCCAGAUAGACAAGAAUCCGCAACUCUUUCAUAAAUAUGCCAACCAUUAUACCAUAGCAUUAAAAUUUUAAAACCACUGUAAUGUAUACAGGUACCCACUAAAAAAGUACAACCAUAGGAGAUUAUAGUCAUCAUUUCUCAAGCAUCAAACACUUUCUUCACUACACGCAGAUCCCCUGACUUUUGACACCCACAAGAUUAUUAAACUGCAAUCAAAGCAUUCCAGUCGAGGUCGAUGCAAAAAACUUGUACAGAAGCCAAUGAAAUAUGCACCAUAACAAGUCAUAAAGAGGGGAUCAGAGACCCUGUUCAAUGAGAUAAUCACCAAGCCUUUCAACUAUCAUGUUGCAUUGACCCGGAGUCAUGGGCUCAUCAUAAAUGCCAAUGACCAAGGCCAACCCGGUCUUCUUGACAGUAGCACCACCAGGACCCUGGGUAAUGGGGAUUGAUAAUUAGAGUCUGAUAUUAGAACUAUAAUGGCUAAACUAUGCCAGAAGAAUAUACAUACACUACCAUGUGCAACAAAUACAACUUAUGUUUCACUAAAUUACAUUAAAUUAAAGGCAACCAUUACACUAAACAACACUGGAACACGGUAUUUACUAUUCAGAGGCUGCAAACAAUAACCACACUGCUUAAAAGUGUAUAUGUCCAUAUGCAUUUGUUUGUAAAUUAUAACUUGAUUGAUAAGAGCAAUUCACAAUCACAUGGAUGAAUCACAAAAUUGUGAAACACCUUAUAAAAUCAUAUGCGUGUUUAUAAAUAAGAUACUAGAUAUUUUACGUAUAAAAAAGACUAGAUGCAUGAAGCCAAAUAAAAGAAUGUAAAAUUUAAACUCGAUCAUAGUUUUGACAGUAAUAAGAUGGGAAUUGACUUCACAAUCUAUUGCUUGAUUUUAACUCUAACAAUCAUAGUAAAAACAUACAAAAAUACACAUCUUCACAGAAACUGCAUCAUUGUCAUCACAUAGCCCAAAUUAUCAUCAUCCUAUAAAAAAACCCGUGCAAUCAAAUUGAAGCAGAGAUCAUAAAGAGUGGUUUACCUUCUUGCCUCUAAUUACAGAACCGGGUUCACCUUGGAUGACCAUAUAUUUAGUACCACCAAUGUAUAAUCCAGUAGGAGCAAGUGUUCCGGGCUCAUUAAAGUCAUUCAUGAUCCCGACUAUUUCCUCCGGCUUGAACUAAAUGAGCAAACAUCAACACAUCAUCAUCAUUACUAUUAUUAUUAUUAUACCACAAACAAAAACAGAUCAACUAAAAUAGAAACAGAUCUCUAGCAAUUAGAUUCAACCAUCCGAUUUGUCUCUUGAAUCAGCAAAUCACUCACAUCAAACUCACAAAUAAAAAAGAAAUAACAUUAUUAAAGAAUUAAGUUAUAGCUGUUGCUGAAAAGUACAUAAUCAGAAUUAACACUUAAUUAAUCAGUUAACUUUUAAUAAUGGAUGAAGAUGCAGUAAACCGAGGUAAACUCUUUUGCAUGUUAAUCCUCACUCCAUUAGCACUAAGAGUGAGAAUAGAUCCAGAAAUCUAGGAUGCUCCUUAAAAAUAUUAAGAAUAAAUCAUGGAAGAAAACCAUUGAAUUGAGAAAAGAGUGAACAAAAAUGAAAACAAACAAAACCUGAGGAAAGCUGCCGCUCUUAGCCCAAACACUGCCAUCUUGACCGAUGAUGGCGGCGUGAGUGAGGUGAUUACCUUCAAUCUCACAGAGAAGGUGGUCAUCAACGUAGGUUUGCCACGACAUGCUUCUGAUUUUCUCUCGAAACUCAAAAUUUUCUUGAGAGUGUUUAACUGCUCAGAAAUUGGGGUUGGGAUUUU
RNAcentral lists this long non-coding RNA (11266 nucleotides) under Vigna radiata. RNAcentral describes it as "long non-coding RNA (VRAD_LNC007605)". Lineage: Eukaryota; Viridiplantae; Streptophyta; Magnoliopsida; Fabales; Fabaceae. The record is from RNAcentral.